RNAcentral lists this ribosomal RNA (502 nucleotides) under uncultured bacterium. RNAcentral describes it as "bacterial SSU rRNA". It matches the Rfam family "Bacterial small subunit ribosomal RNA", at positions 26 to 518 of the family's 1533-position model. The record is from RNAcentral.
AGGAUGAACGCUAGCUACAGGCUUAACACAUGCAAGUCGAGGGGCAGCAUGGGAUAGCUUGCUAUUCAGAUGGCGACCGGCGCACGGGUGAGUAACGCGUAUCCAACCUUCCUGCCAGUAGGGAACAGCCCGGCGAAAGUCGGAUUAAUGCCCUAUGUUCUUCAAUGCGGACAUCUAAGUUGAAGGAAAGAUUCAUCGCUGGCAGAUGGGGAUGCGUCCGAUUAGCUUGCCGGCGGGGUAACGGCCCACCGGGGCGACGAUCGGUAGGGGUUCUGAGAGGAAGGUCCCCCACACUGGUACUGAGACACGGACCAGACUCCUACGGGAGGCAGCAGUGAGGAAUAUUGGUCAAUGGGCGUAAGCCUGAACCAGCCAAGUAGCGUGCAAGGAUGACGGCCCUACGGGUUGUAAACUGCUUUUAUGCGGGGAUAAAGUGCGGCACGUGUGCCGCUUUGCAGGUACCGCAUGAAUAAGGACCGGCUAAUUCCGUGCCAGCCGCUGC